Molecule: long non-coding RNA, 1244 nt
Filed under: Sorghum bicolor (sorghum)
Lineage: Eukaryota; Viridiplantae; Streptophyta; Magnoliopsida; Poales; Poaceae
Description: long non-coding RNA (SBIC_LNC002569)
Source: RNAcentral
AUGGAUACUUCUUUUUAUCCCCUUUAAAUGCACAGUUCCACAAAAAGAAUGAACUGGUGCUCCUAUUUCUUUAGUAACAGUCGGCUAAUAAUGUUUGUUUUUCAGUAAAAGUUAAUGUGGUCACAAUUCCUUGUCGGUUAUUAUUAGCAAUUCUUUAAUCAUCAGUGCCCCUUCAUCCCUUGUGUCUUCGUUUGGCCGUUUUCAUAAGCAUCCUUGAAAUACCACUGUGGCGUUAGCACGGGCAUUAUACUAGUGAAUAUAACUGGGCUCUCCCAUGGUGGUCAGCUCUUCCAAGGUUAGAGAUAUUGCUGCUACGGGCUCCAGCCUGCGGGGCGAGGCCGGGCAAGUCCCCUAGCUACACCACCAAGGGCGUGAGCCGGGAGUAGAGGGUAGGCGCAGGCCACCGAAAGGCCCAAUGCUACCUCUAGUCGGUAGCCAUGUCGCGGGGGAAGGAGUAGAUGAGCAGCGGCAAGCGGCCUAGAGGGAGAGGAGGAGAUGACCCGGGGGGAGCAGGCCGAAGAGAGGAGGAGCGUCAGCAUCGCUUACUGCACCACCGCCACCGCUUACUGUGUCGCCGCCACUUGCCACGCCACCACUAUGAAAUCUCUAGUUUGGUUUUGGAUAAUUGAUAAAACCCAAGUACUAACCUUUAUGCUAAGUGUGUGUAGAUUAGAUGAGAUUGGUAUAUGGCAAGUGUUGGAGCAAGAGAUGAUGAUGGUGACGAUGGUGAUGACCACAAGAUGAUUAAGUGCUCAACUUAGAAAAAAAAGAAAGAAAAACAAAACCCUAUGGAGAUCAAGGCAAAGAUAUUGCUUAUAAUUUUUGGUUUUGGUGAUCAAGACAUCAUAGAGGGUGUGAUCACAUUUAGGAUAGAUAGUCGUACUAUAAAGAGGGCAAUUCUUUGGUUAAGCGGUUAUCGAGUGUUACUAGGUAACAUUGUUCAUGUACAUGCAUUUAGAACCUAGUGUGCUAACUUAACCCUUGAAAAUGUUUGUGAAAAUAUGUUAACACAUGUGCAUAAGGUGAAACACUUGGUGGUUAGCACGUUUGAGCAAGGGUUGAAGAGGUGGAGAGGGGUUUGGGUCUCUCUCUCUCUCUCUCGCCGAGCAAGCUCAGUGGGAUUCGGCACUUUUGAGAAUGAAAUGCAUAUUUUUUAUUGCACCGAUGGAAAGUUUGGAGAAGUCACAGGAGUGUUUUUCAAACACUCACUAGACACUGACUCUAGGAGCAUCGAACGUUGGGCC